GGCAGUGGUAGCUCAGUGGUCAAGGCAUUGGCCUACUGGUUAGAAGGUCAUGAGUUCAAAUCCCAGCACUGCUA
Molecule: non-coding RNA, 74 nt
Organism: Pangasianodon gigas (Mekong giant catfish)
Lineage: Eukaryota; Metazoa; Chordata; Actinopteri; Siluriformes; Pangasiidae
Source: the annotation of a GenBank genome assembly